Molecule: unclassified non-coding RNA, 573 nt
Filed under: Hevea brasiliensis (rubber tree)
Lineage: Eukaryota; Viridiplantae; Streptophyta; Magnoliopsida; Malpighiales; Euphorbiaceae
Source: RNAcentral
UGGAUGGCACCAGAAGUUCUCCGUAAUGAACCUUCAAAUGAGAAGUGAGUUGCUGAUGUUAUGUUUUUGCAUUUUUCAAAUUCACUUGUUAUUUUGCUCUUGCAUAAGCUUCGUGCAAAGUUAAAAUUCCUCUGUACUUGAAUGCUCUUUUCGGCUGAUUAGAAUGCAGUAAAAUAAAUAACUUCCCAUUCUACCUGGCAAGCAGCCAGAUGGAUCCACUUUUAGUUGUUUAUCAUCCUAUAGAAGCCAUUGCAGAUAAUUAAAUCAUUUGGAAUCCAUUUUGAAACGGCAGUAGUCCUUUAGCUCUACAAUUGAGUGCUACAGUGCCUCAAAAGAGGGUAUUUUUGAGGCUUAUUCCUCAGAAGCUUAUAGAAGGGGUUUUCUAUAAUGAAAAUAGCUUUGGAAUGACUCAUGAAUUGAGAAGCAAUGUACAGUUCUAUUAGCCAUUGCCUUUGCAAUGAACAUAUAUGUCGGUUAUUGCCUGCUGGAAACUUAAGUCGAUUUCAUGGGUAGGACCAAUAUACUAAAUAAGUUGUGCUUGUGCUGGAUGAGCAGGUGUGAUGUAUAUAGUUU